UUUGAUCCUGGCUCAGGAUGAACGCUAGCUACAGGCUUAACACAUGCAAGUCGAGGGGAAACGACAUCGAAAGCUUGCUUUUGAUGGGCGUCGACCGGCGCACGGGUGAGUAACGCGUAUCCAACCUGCCCACCACUUGGGGAUAACCUUGCGAAAGUAAGACUAAUACCCAAUGAUAUCUCUAGAAGACAUCUGAAAGAGAUUAAAGAUUUAUCGGUGAUGGAUGGGGAUGCGUCUGAUUAGCUUGUUGGCGGGGUAACGGCCCACCAAGGCGACGAUCAGUAGGGGUUCUGAGAGGAAGGUCCCCCACAUUGGAACUGAGACACGGUCCAAACUCCUACGGGAGGCAGCAGUGAGGAAUAUUGGUCAAUGGGCGAGAGCCUGAACCAGCCAAGUAGCGUGCAGGAUGACGGCCCUAUGGGUUGUAAACUGCUUUUAUAAGGGAAUAAAGUGAGUCUCGUGAGACUUUUUGCAUGUACCUUAUGAAUAAGGACCGGCUAAUUCCGUGCCAGCAGCCGCGGUAAUACGGAAGGUCCGGGCGUUAUCCGGAUUUAUUGGGUUUAAAGGGAGCGUAGGCCGGAGAUUAAGCGUGUUGUGAAAUGUAGAUGCUCAACAUCUGAACUGCAGCGCGAACUGGUUUCCUUGAGUACGCACAAAGUGGGCGGAAUUCGUGGUGUAGCGGUGAAAUGCUUAGAUAUCACGAAGAACUCCGAUUGCGAAGGCAGCUCACUGGAGCGCAACUGACGCUGAAGCUCGAAAGUGCGGGUAUCGAACAGGAUUAGAUACCCUGGUAGUCCGCACGGUAAACGAUGGAUGCCCGCUGUUGGUCUGAAUAGGUCAGCGGCC
Molecule: ribosomal RNA, 846 nt
Filed under: uncultured bacterium
Lineage: Bacteria
Description: bacterial SSU rRNA
Rfam family: Bacterial small subunit ribosomal RNA
Source: RNAcentral